GAUUGUAGUCUGCAACCCGACUACAUGAAGCUGGAAUCGCUAGUAAUCGCGGAUUAGAAUGCCGCGGUGAAUACGUUCCCGGGCCUUGUACACACCGCCCGUCACACCAUGAGAGUCGGGAACACCCGAAGUCCGUAGUCUAACCGCAAGGGGGGCGCGGCCGAAGGUGGGUCCGGUAAUUGGGGUGAAGUCGUAACAAGGUAAC
This 205-nucleotide ribosomal RNA is filed under the name uncultured bacterium. Its description in RNAcentral is "partial 16S ribosomal RNA". It matches the Rfam family "Bacterial small subunit ribosomal RNA", at positions 1296 to 1500 of the family's 1533-position model. The record is from RNAcentral.